AUUGAACGCUGGCGGCGUGCCUAACACAUGCAAGUCGAGCGGUAACAGGUGUAGCAAUACAUGCUGACGAGCGGCGAACGGGUGAGUAAUGCUUCGGAAUCUACCUUAUGGUGGGGAAUAACUAGCCGAAAGGUUAGCUAAUACCGCAUACGUCCUACGGGAGAAAGCAGGGGAUCGCAAGACCUUGCGCCAAAAGAUGAGCCGAAGUCGGAUUAGCUGGUUGGUAGGGUAACGGCCUACCAAGGCGACGAUCCGUAGCUGGUCUGAGAGGACACAAGCCCACACUGGGAAUGAGAAACGGCCCAGGUCCCUACGGGAGGCAGGAGAGGGGAAUUUUGGACAAUGGGGGAAACCUUAAUCCGGCGACGCCGCGUGUGUGAAGAAGGCCUGCGGGUUGUAAAGCCCUUUUAGUGGGGAUGAAAUGUGCAGGGUUAAUACCUCUGCAUUUUGACCUAACCCACAGAAAAAGCACCGGCUAACUCUGUGCCAGCAGCCGCCGUAA
This 502-nucleotide ribosomal RNA is filed under the name uncultured bacterium. RNAcentral describes it as "partial 16S ribosomal RNA". It matches the Rfam family "Bacterial small subunit ribosomal RNA", at positions 30 to 523 of the family's 1533-position model. The record is from RNAcentral.